Long non-coding RNA from Lemur catta (Ring-tailed lemur), 261 nucleotides. RefSeq lists it as uncharacterized. The transcript has 3 exons. The record is from RefSeq and is a predicted model, not a curated record. NCBI's taxonomy places the organism in Eukaryota, Metazoa, Chordata, Mammalia, Primates, Lemuridae.
CCAGAGGACAAAGAGAUCUUUCCCAGGUGUGCAGGAUGCACAGGUGCGGCCAGGUUGAGAAGUGCUGGGAAAGAUGACCCUGAGUUCCUUGCAGUCCUGCACUUUCCUGACCUUCCUGAUCCUGCAAAUUCACCUGUGUCCUCACUGAACUGGGGUCCUCCGUUCUUUUAACAAAGGAGAAAGAAACGGCAACGCAAUUUAAAAACUGGCAGGCCGUUUAAAAAGAGCCCGUUUGACCUCUGCCAAACCCAGCCAAGAUAA